RNAcentral lists this ribosomal RNA (407 nucleotides) under uncultured bacterium. RNAcentral describes it as "partial 16S ribosomal RNA". It matches the Rfam family "Bacterial small subunit ribosomal RNA", at positions 28 to 526 of the family's 1533-position model. The record is from RNAcentral.
GACGAACGCUGGCGGCGUGCCUAAUACAUGCAAGUAGGACGCAGUUGCGAACGGGUGAGUAACGCGUAGGUAACUGCCUAUUAGAGGGGGAUAACUAUUGGAAACGAUAGCUAAUACCGCAUACUAGUAGAUGGACCUGCGUUGUAUUAGCUAGUAGGUAGGGUAAUGGCCUACCUAGGCAACGAUACAUAGCCGAACGGCGAGGGUGGUCGGCCAACCUGGGACUGAGACACGGCCCAGACUCCCACGGGAGGCAGCAGUAGGCAAUCUUUGGAAAUGGACGAAAGUCUGACCGAGAAACGCCGCGUGAGUGAAGAAGGUUUUCGGAUCGUAAAACUCUGUUGUUAGAGAAGCGGUAUCUACCCAGAAAGCCACGGCUAACUACGUGCCAGCCGCCGCGGUAAUAC